Molecule: long non-coding RNA, 261 nt
Organism: Chenopodium quinoa (quinoa)
Lineage: Eukaryota; Viridiplantae; Streptophyta; Magnoliopsida; Caryophyllales; Amaranthaceae
Exons: 4
Source: RefSeq, a predicted model, not a curated record
UAGAGACGAAGUCAAACAACCGAAGCAAAUUUCACCGAAAAAAGUAGCGAAAAUCAAAAGAGAAACAAAUUGAUAGUUUAAUAACUGAAAAUGUAUAUAUUUUGGAGAAAUCUAUUUCAGAGAACAGAAACAACGAUUCUUCAAAAAUGUAGACCAAAUCAGGAAGCUGAGGAUGCAAUACACAACUCAACUAAUGCUUUUGAAGAAAACACUGAAUGUAGGAUCAACAAAAGAUUAUCAAGAAAAAUUACAAAAGAGUAG